CCUACGGGAGGCAGCAGUGAGGAAUAUUGGUCAAUGGGCGCAAGCCUGAACCAGCCAAGUCGCGUGAGGGAUGACGGUCCUAUGGAUUGUAAACCUCUUUUGUCGGGGAGCAAGGCCCGCCACGUGUGGCGGGAAGGAGAGUACCCGAAGAAAAAGCAUCGGCUAACUCCGUGCCAGCAGCCGCGGUAAUACGGAGGAUGCGAGCGUUAUCCGAAUUUAUUGGGUUUAAAGGGUGCGUAGGCGGAAGGUUAAGUCAGCGGUAAAAUGUCGGUGCUCAACACCGGCCUGCCGUUGAAACUGGUCUUCUUGAGUGAGCGAGAAGUACGCGGAAUGCGUGGUGUAGCGGUGAAAUGCAUAGAUAUCACGCAGAACUCCGAUUGCGAAGGCAGCAUACCGGCGCUCAACUGACGCUGAGGCACGAAAGCGUGGGGAUCGAACAGGAUUAGAUACCCCAGUAGUC
This 460-nucleotide ribosomal RNA is filed under the name uncultured bacterium. RNAcentral's name for it is "partial 16S ribosomal RNA". It matches the Rfam family "Bacterial small subunit ribosomal RNA", at positions 338 to 795 of the family's 1533-position model. The record is from RNAcentral.